CGGGGCAUAGCACAGUUGGUAGUGCGCUUGGUUCGGGACCAAGAGGUCGUGAGUUCGAUUCUCACUGCUCCGACCA
RNAcentral lists this transfer RNA (76 nucleotides) under Bacillota bacterium. Its description in RNAcentral is "tRNA-Pro". It matches the Rfam family "tRNA". Rfam says of the family: Transfer RNA (tRNA) molecules are approximately 80 nucleotides in length. Their secondary structure includes four short double-helical elements and three loops (D, anti-codon, and T loops). The record is from RNAcentral. Lineage: Bacteria; Bacillati; Bacillota. RNAcentral also lists the same sequence under 1 other name.